Molecule: ribosomal RNA, 253 nt
Filed under: uncultured bacterium
Lineage: Bacteria
Description: partial 16S ribosomal RNA
Rfam family: Bacterial small subunit ribosomal RNA
Source: RNAcentral
CACGUAGGGCGCAAGCGUUGUCCGGAAUUACUGGGCGUAAAGCGCGUGUAGGCGGCCCUGCAAGUCGGAUGUGAAAUCCCACGGCUCAACCGUGGAAGUGCAUUCGAAACUGCAGGGCUAGAGUCCUGGAGAGGAAGGUGGAAUGCUUGGUGUAGAGGUGAAAUUCGUAGAUAUCAAGCGGAACACCGGUGGCGAAGGCGGCCUUCUGGACAGUGACUGACGCUGAGACGCGAAAGCGUGGGGAGCAAACGGG